This 100-nucleotide microRNA precursor is filed under the name Medicago truncatula (barrel medic). Its description in RNAcentral is "miR5286b stem-loop (mtr-MIR5286b)". The stretch from base 17 to 94 matches the Rfam family "MIR5286 microRNA precursor family". Lineage: Eukaryota; Viridiplantae; Streptophyta; Magnoliopsida; Fabales; Fabaceae. The record is from miRBase by way of RNAcentral.
AUGAAGGACAUGACAGAAUAACUCCAGUUGUCCAGUGUUUGAUUUGUAAAACAGUUUCAGGAAGAGGACAAACUGGAGGCAAGGGACAGGACAAAAACUA